RNAcentral lists this unclassified non-coding RNA (224 nucleotides) under Hevea brasiliensis (rubber tree). The record is from RNAcentral. Lineage: Eukaryota; Viridiplantae; Streptophyta; Magnoliopsida; Malpighiales; Euphorbiaceae.
GGUGUUACAUUCAGAUUCAAGAAUAAUUGUUGCAAGUCUGAAAUCGACCAAAUCAGAGGGUGUUCCUGACCUUUAAAGAUUAGUAUCAACAACAAAGAUACAAAUUAAGCAACAGAAGAAAGAAAAACUAGAAAACUACAAAGCUAAAUACUUUACUGCUACUACGACAACGAAGAGCUGCCAAAAAUUUACAUGCUAGUCACGCUCGGCAUCUUCAAUCUCUU